This 1040-nucleotide ribosomal RNA is filed under the name uncultured euryarchaeote. Its description in RNAcentral is "bacterial SSU rRNA". It matches the Rfam family "Archaeal small subunit ribosomal RNA", at positions 1 to 1054 of the family's 1478-position model. The record is from RNAcentral. Lineage: Archaea; Methanobacteriati; Methanobacteriota.
UUCCGGUUGAUCCUGCCGGAGGUUGCUGCUAUGAGGGUUCGACUAAGCCAUGCAAGUCUGAUAGCAAUAUCGGCAGAAUGCUCAGUAACACGUCGUUGACCUUACCUAUGGUCAUCGAUAACCUCGGGAAACUGAGGGUAAACGAUGAUAGAAGAAUUCUCCUGGAAUGGUGUUUCUUUGAAACUCGUGCCAUAGGAUGGGGCGGCGGCUGAUUAGGUAGUUGGUGGUGUAAUGGACCACCAAGCCAAUGAUCGGUACGGGCCUUGAGAGAGGUAGCCCGGAGAGGGACACUGAGAAACUGGUCCCAGCCCUACGGGGUGCAGCAGGCGCGGAACCUUUACAAUGCACGCAAGUGUGAUAAGGGAACCCUCAGUGCUCAUGUUUUACAUGGGCUUUUGCCAAGCGUAAAUAGUUUGGCGAAUAAGUGGUGGGUAAGACUAGUGCCAGCCGCCGCGGUAACACCAGCGCCACGAGUGGCAACCACGUUUAUUGGGCCUAAAGCGUCCGUAGCCGGUUUGGUAAAUCUCUUGUGAAAUCGUCAGGCUUAACUUGACGGCGCGCUCGAGACACUGCCUUACUUGAGACCGGGAGGAGUCAGAGGUAUUUCUGAGGGAGCGGUAAAAUGUGAUAAUCUCAGGAGGAUCACCUAUGGCGAAGGCAUCUGACCAGAACGGAUCUGACGGUGAGGGACGAAGGCUAGGGGAGCGAUCCGGAUUAGAUACCCGAGUAGUCCUAGCAGUAAACGCUGCGAGCAAGAUGUUGCACUUCUUAAGAGGAUGUGCAGUGUCGAAGAGAAGUCAUUAAGCUCGCCGCCUGGGAAGUACGGUCGCAAGACUGAAACUUUAAGGAAUUGGCGGGGGAGCACCACCAGGGGUGCGGCGUGCGGUUUAAUCUAACUCCACACAGGGAACCUUACUAGAAGCGACGGCAGGAAGAAAGUCAUGCUGAAGACAUUACUUGACGAGCCGAGAGGUAGUGCAUGGCCGCCGUCAGCUCGUGUCGUAAGAUGUCCAGUUAAGUCUGGCAACGAGCGAGACCCA